AGAGUUUGAUCCUGGCUCAGAGCGAACGCUGGCGGCAGGCUUAACACAUGCAAGUCGAGCGGGCAUAGCAAUAUGUCAGCGGCAGACGGGUGAGUAACGCGUGGGAACAUACCUUUUGGUUCGGAACAACACAGGGAAACUUGUGCUAAUACCGGUAAGCCCUUACGGGGAAAGAUUUAUCGCCGAAAGAUUGGCCCGCGUCUGAUUAGCUAGUUGGUGAGGUAACGGCUCACCAAGGCGACGAUCAGUAGCUGGUCUGAGAGGAUGAUCAGCCACAUUGGGACUGAGACACGGCCCAAACUCCUACGGGAGGCAGCAGUGGGGAAUAUUGGACAAUGGGCGCAAGCCUGAUCCAGCCAUGCCGCGUGAGUGAUGAAGGCCCUAGGGUUGUAAAGCUCUUUUGUGCGGGAAGAUAAUGACGGUACCGCAAGAAUAAGCCCCGGCUAACUUCGUGCCAGCAGCCGCGGUAAUACGAAGGGGGCUAGCGUUGCUCGGAAUCACUGGGCGUAAAGGGUGCGUAGGCGGGUCUUUAAGUCAGAGGUGAAAUCCUGGAGCUCAACUCCAGAACUGCCUUUGAUACUGAGGAUCUUGAGUUCGGGAGAGGUGAGUGGAACUGCGAGUGUAGAGGUGAAAUUCGUAGAUAUUCGCAAGAACACCAGUGGCGAAGGCGGCUCACUGGCCCGAUACUGACGCUGAGGCACGAAAGCGUGGGGAGCAAACAGGAUUAGAUACCCUGGUAGUCCACGCCGUAGACGAUGAAUGCCAGCCGUUAGUGGGUUUACUCACUAGUGGCGCAGCUAACGCUUUAAGCAUUCCGCCUGGGGAGUACGGUCGCAGGAUUAAAACUCAAAGGAAUUGACGG
RNAcentral lists this ribosomal RNA (862 nucleotides) under uncultured Bradyrhizobiaceae bacterium. RNAcentral's name for it is "bacterial SSU rRNA". It matches the Rfam family "Bacterial small subunit ribosomal RNA", at positions 8 to 916 of the family's 1533-position model. The record is from RNAcentral. Lineage: Bacteria; Pseudomonadati; Pseudomonadota; Alphaproteobacteria; Hyphomicrobiales; Nitrobacteraceae.